RNAcentral lists this RNase P RNA (406 nucleotides) under Bacteroidota bacterium. Its description in RNAcentral is "Bacteroidetes bacterium (activated sludge metagenome) RNase P RNA component class A". It matches the Rfam family "Bacterial RNase P class A". From Rfam's summary of the family: Ribonuclease P (RNase P) is a ubiquitous endoribonuclease, found in archaea, bacteria and eukarya as well as chloroplasts and mitochondria. Lineage: Bacteria; Pseudomonadati; Bacteroidota. The record is from RNAcentral.
CCCGCGCACCGCUCCGCCGCUCUUUUCGCCGCAAGGCGGAAGGGGAGGAAAGUCCGGGCAGCAUAGGGCACCGUGCUUCCUAACGGGAAGGGGCGCCGCCGGCAACGGCGGCGUUACGGAAAGUGCAACAGAGAGCAGACCGCCGAUGGCCGCAAGGCACAGGCAAGGGUGAAAGGGUGGUGCAAGGGACCACCGCGCCCCCAGUGAUGGGGGCGGCAUGGCAAACCCCACGGGCUGAAAGACCAAAUAAGCCGGGGCUUCUGCCUUCGGGCAGGAAAAGGGCGGCCCGCCCGAUCCCGGCGGGUAGGUCGAUAGAGGCCGUGCGUGAGCACGGUCCCAGAUAAAUGGCGGAGCCCCGCGUGCUUGCACACGGGGACAGGAUCCGGCUUACAGGUGCGCGGGUAUU